GCCAUAGUACAGUGGCAGAACAUCUGCCCUGCAUGCAGAAGUCUCCAGGCUCAACCCCUAGCAUCUCCA
Podarcis lilfordi (Lilford's wall lizard) is the source of this 69-nucleotide non-coding RNA. The record is from the annotation of a GenBank genome assembly. NCBI's taxonomy places the organism in Eukaryota, Metazoa, Chordata, Lepidosauria, Squamata, Lacertidae.